AGUGAACGCUGGCGGUAGGCCUAACACAUGCAAGUCGAACGGCAGCACAGUAAGAGCUUGCUCUUACGGGUGGCGAGUGGCGGACGGGUGAGGAGUACAUCGGAAUCUACUUUUUCGUGGGGGAUAACGUAGGGAAACUUACGCUAGUACCGCAUACGACCUACGGGUGAAAGCAGGGGAUCUUCGGACCUUGCGCGAUUGAAUGAGCCGAUGUCGGAUUAGCUAGUUGGCGGGGUAAAGGCCCACCAAGGCGACGAUCCGUAGCUGGUCUGAGAGGAUGAUCAGCCACACUGGAACUGAGACACGGUCCAGACUCCUACGGGAGGCAGCAGUGGGGAAUAUUGGACAAUGGGCGCAAGCCUGAUCCAGCCAUACCGCGUGGGUGAAGAAGGCCUUCGGGUUGUAAAGCCCUUUUGUUGGGAAAGAAAAGCAGCAGGUUAAUACCCCGCUGUUCUGACGGUACCCAAAGAAUAAGCACCGGCUAACUUCGUG
RNAcentral lists this ribosomal RNA (492 nucleotides) under uncultured bacterium. RNAcentral describes it as "partial 16S ribosomal RNA". It matches the Rfam family "Bacterial small subunit ribosomal RNA", at positions 29 to 507 of the family's 1533-position model. The record is from RNAcentral.